RNAcentral lists this ribosomal RNA (377 nucleotides) under uncultured eukaryote. Its description in RNAcentral is "partial 18S ribosomal RNA". It matches the Rfam family "Eukaryotic small subunit ribosomal RNA", at positions 592 to 976 of the family's 1831-position model. The record is from RNAcentral.
CAAUAGCGUAUAUUUAAGUUGCUGCAGUUAAAAAGCUCGUAGUUGGAUUUCGGGUGGGAAUGGCCGGUCCGCCGUUUCGGUGUGCACUUGCUACGCCCACCUUGCUGCCGGGGACGUGCUCUUGAGUUCACGCUCGGGACACGGAGUCGGCGAGGUUACUUUGAGUAAAUUAGAGUGUUCAAAGCAGGCCUACGCUCUGAAUACAUUAGCAUGGAAUAACACGAUAGGACUCUGGUCUAUCUUGUUGGUCUGUAGGACCGGAGUAAUGAUUAAGAGGGACAGUCGGGGGCAUUCGUAUUUCAUUGUCAGAGGUGAAAUUCUUGGAUUUAUGAAAGACGAACUACUGCGAAAGCAUUUGCCAAGGAUGUUUUCAUUAA